AUUGAACGCUGGCGGCAGGCCUAACACAUGCAAGUCGAACGGUAACAGGAAGAAGCUUGCUUCUUUGCUGACGAGUGGCGGACGGGUGAGUCAUGUCUGUGAAACUGCUUGAUGGAGGGGGAUAACUACUGGAAACGGUAGCUAAUACCGCAUAACGUCGCAAGACCAAAGAGGGGGACCUUCGGGCCUCUUGCCAUCGGCUGUGCCCAGAUGGGAUUAGCUAGUAGGUGGGGUAACGGCUCACCUAGGCGACGAUCCCUAGCUGGUCUGAGAGGGUGACCGGCCACACUGGAACUGAGACACGGUCCAGACUCCUACGGGAGGCAGCAGUGGGGAAUAUUGCGCAAUGGGCGCAAGCCUGAUGCAGCCAUGCCGCGUGUAUGAAGAAGGCCUUCGGGUUGUAAAGUUCUUUUAGCGGGGAAGAAGAGAGUUGAGUGAAUACCUGCGCUCAUUGACGUUACCCACAGAAGAAGCACCGGCUAACUCCGUG
This 490-nucleotide ribosomal RNA is filed under the name uncultured bacterium. RNAcentral describes it as "partial 16S ribosomal RNA". It matches the Rfam family "Bacterial small subunit ribosomal RNA", at positions 30 to 507 of the family's 1533-position model. The record is from RNAcentral.